GACGAACGCUGGCGGCAUGCCUAAUACAUGCGAGUCGAGCGAACAGAUGAAGUGCUUGCACUUCUGACGUUAGCGGCGAACGGGUGAGUAACACGUACGGAAUCUACCUAUAAGCGGGGGAUAACAUUCGGAAACGGGUGCUAAUACCGCAUAAUAUCUUCUUCCGCAUGGAAGAAGAUUGAAAGACGGCUCUGCUGUCACUUAUAGAUGACCUUGCGGUGCAUUAGUUAGUUGGUGGGGUAAUGGCCUACCAAGACAAUGAUGCAUAGCCGACCUGAGAGGGUGAUCGGCCACAUUGGGACUGAGGCACGGCCCAAACUCCUACGGGAGGCAGCAGUAGGGAAUCUUCCGCAAUGGGCGAAAGCCUGACGGAGCAUGCCGCGUGAGUGAAGAAGGCCUUCGGGUCGUAAAACUCUGUUAUAAGAGAAGAGCAAAUUGUAGAGUAACUGCUACAGUCUUGACGGUAUCUUAUCAGAAAGCCACGGCUAACUACGUGCCAGCCGCCGCAGUAA
This 512-nucleotide ribosomal RNA is filed under the name uncultured bacterium. RNAcentral describes it as "partial 16S ribosomal RNA". It matches the Rfam family "Bacterial small subunit ribosomal RNA", at positions 28 to 523 of the family's 1533-position model. The record is from RNAcentral.